RNAcentral lists this unclassified non-coding RNA (213 nucleotides) under plant metagenome. RNAcentral's name for it is "partial contains small subunit ribosomal RNA, internal transcribed spacer 1, and 5.8S ribosomal RNA". The record is from RNAcentral.
UCUCCGUAGGUGAACCUGCGGAAGGAUCAUUCAUAAUAAGUGUUUUAUGGCACUUUUUUAAAUCCAUAUCCACCUUGUGUGCAAUGUCAGGGUUGAUUUUUCUCUCGAGAGGAUCAACCCCAAACAUCAACUAUAUCUCAACUCUUUGUCUGAAAAAUAUUAUGAAUAAAACAAUUCAAAAUACAACUUUCAACAACGGAUCUCUUGGCUCUC